AGCGAACGCUAGCGGCGGGCCUAACACAUGCAAGUCGAGCGGAGAACUUCGGUUCUUAGCGGCGGACGGGUGAGUAACGCGUAGGUAAUGUGCCUUCUGGUGGGGAACAACCGUGCGAAAGCAUGGCUAAUACCGCAUAUGUCGAGAGAUGAAAGCCCUCGGGCGCCAGUAGAGCAGCCUGCGUCCCAUUAUUUAGUCCUAGCUGGUGAGGUAACGGUUCACCAAGGGUACGAUGGGUAGCUGGUCUGAGAGGAUGAUCAGCCACACUGGAACUGAGACACGGUCCAGACUCCUACGGGAGGCAGCAGUGGGGAAUAUUGCGCAAUGGGCGAAAGCCUGACGCAGCCACGCCGCGUGAGUGAU
Molecule: ribosomal RNA, 363 nt
Filed under: uncultured bacterium
Lineage: Bacteria
Description: bacterial SSU rRNA
Rfam family: Bacterial small subunit ribosomal RNA
Source: RNAcentral